AACCGGAAAACCCCCUUUAAUAAUACGAUUUUAUUUUUCGCCUUUUACUAAAGAUAACCGUUAAGUGGGUUUGCAUAUCCGGAUUAACACAAUUUUUGUAGGUGCUUCGCGCACCU
Molecule: small nuclear RNA, 116 nt
Filed under: Pseudocohnilembus persalinus
Lineage: Eukaryota; Ciliophora; Oligohymenophorea; Philasterida; Pseudocohnilembidae
Description: U5 spliceosomal RNA
Rfam family: U5 spliceosomal RNA
About the family: U5 RNA is a component of both types of known spliceosome. The precise function of this molecule is unknown, though it is known that the 5' loop is required for splice site selection and p220 binding, and that both the 3' stem-loop and the Sm site are important for Sm protein binding and cap methylation.
Source: Rfam by way of RNAcentral